AUUGAACGCUGGCGGCAUGCCUUACACAUGCAAGUCGAACGGCAGCACGGGAGCAAUCCUGGUGGCGAGUGGCGAACGGGUGAGUAAUAUAUCGGAACGUGCCCAGUCGUGGGGGAUAACGUAGCGAAAGCUACGCUAAUACCGCAUACGAUCUAUGGAUGAAAGCGGGGGAUCGCAAGACCUCGCGCGAUUGGAGCGGCCGAUAUCAGAUUAGGUAGUUGGUGAGGUAAAGGCUCACCAAGCCAACGAUCUGUAGCUGGUCUGAGAGGACGACCAGCCACACUGGAACUGAGACACGGUCCAGACUCCUACGGGAGGCAGCAGUGGGGAAUUUUGGACAAUGGACGCAAGUCUGAUCCAGCCAUUCCGCGUGCAGGAUGAAGGCUCUCGGGUUGUAAACUGCUUUUGUACGGAACGAAAGGUUUCUAUUAAUACUAGGAGCUCAUGACGGUACCGUAAGAAUAAGCACCGGCUAACUACGU
This 482-nucleotide ribosomal RNA is filed under the name uncultured bacterium. Its description in RNAcentral is "bacterial SSU rRNA". It matches the Rfam family "Bacterial small subunit ribosomal RNA", at positions 30 to 506 of the family's 1533-position model. The record is from RNAcentral.